GCUGGGAAUAACUAACUGGGAAUAUUCGCUGGGAAGAACAUUCGCCUGUUUGGGAACAUUCGUUCAAGGUUGAGACCCCGGGGACGACUCAGGACACGCUGGAGACUGGGAUCCCUCUGGAAGAGUUGGAAAAAGUGGCUGGAGAAAGGGAAGUCUGGGUAUCCCUGCUGAAGCUACUUGCCCCGCGACCCAACCCGGAAAAGAGCAGAUGUGUAAAUGGAGACAUGGGAGAGAUACAGAGGACAGAUGAAAACUGGAAAGCAUUACGGCGCUAUCAGGGACAAGUUUCCAAAGUCAAGUCUCCAUAAUGCACAGGGCGGUGAACAUCAGACAUCUUUACUCGUCUUGAUCAGAAGAUGAAGCUUGUCGGUUUUGUCUUUGUCAUGUAUUCAAGUGAAAAUGGGUUGAAAAGGAUUUCAAAAUUAAUGUACGGUUUUCCAUAUUUUCUUUAUUUUACAUAAUGUCCCAACUACAUUUGAAUUGGGGUUUGUAAAAGACAACAGUCUGAGUGACCUCAAUCUCUUAAACAGUAGACCAUGUACAUGUGCUUUUAGUUUAGAUAAUACCAAUGCAAAAAUGAAUGUGUAAAAAUUUCAUGCUAAAUAAUAAAUUUUUUCCUUUUAUUACUUUGGAAUAAAUGUAACAAAAAAAAAUCUGGCUUUGUACAUUGACCUCAAAUUGUUUAAUAAACUGUCUUAC
This is a long non-coding RNA of Syngnathoides biaculeatus (alligator pipefish), 699 nucleotides long. RefSeq lists it as uncharacterized. The record is from RefSeq and is a predicted model, not a curated record. Lineage: Eukaryota; Metazoa; Chordata; Actinopteri; Syngnathiformes; Syngnathidae. The transcript is spliced from 4 exons.